GACGAACGCUGGCGGCGUGCCUAAUACAUGCAAGUAGAACGCUGAAGGGAGAGCUUGCUCUUCUGGAUGAGUUGCGAACGGGUGAGUAACGCGUAGGUAACCUGCCUGGUAGCGGGGGAUAACUAUUGGAAACGAUAGCUAAUACCGCAUAACAUUGACUAUUGCAUGAUAGUCAAUUAAAAGGUGCAAUUGCACCACUACCAGAUGGACCUGCGUUGUAUUAGCUAGUUGGUGGGGUAACGGCUCACCAAGGCGACGAUACAUAGCCGACCUGAGAGGGUGAUCGGCCACACUGGGACUGAGACACGGCCCAGACUCCUACGGGAGGCAGCAGUAGGGAAUCUUCGGCAAUGGACGGAAGUCUGACCGAGCAACGCCGCGUGAGUGAAGAAGGUUUUCGGAUCGUAAAG
This 410-nucleotide ribosomal RNA is filed under the name uncultured bacterium. RNAcentral's name for it is "bacterial SSU rRNA". It matches the Rfam family "Bacterial small subunit ribosomal RNA", at positions 28 to 430 of the family's 1533-position model. The record is from RNAcentral.